AAGCAGAUGGCCUCCCCCCAACCAUGAGGAUUUUUUAAUGGGGUGAAAAUGCCAGUCCCCGAAGCCAGGGUUCUCGGACCCCCAGGGCCGAGCUGGGCGCGGGAGCCCCGCAGGGGCGGGGAGGCCGACCGAGCUUGAAGAAGUGUAGGAGAGAUCUACACAACUUAAGUGGGGCGUCCCCAUCCCAUCUUCCUGCGCACCCUCCUUUGCCCCCAACUCCAUCUCUGCGACACUUCCCCACCCCCACUCCCCCCAAAAAGUCGCUCCCGGGCUCUCUCUGCAGAGAGCCAGGGUGAGAGCGGGCAAGGCAAAAGAGCGACCUCGGUCGUGGGCAAGUAGCUUGUUUUUACGUCCCUCAAUAAAAUUUUUAUGAGGAUCA
This is a long non-coding RNA of Pan troglodytes (chimpanzee), 379 nucleotides long. RefSeq lists it as uncharacterized. The transcript has 2 exons. NCBI's taxonomy places the organism in Eukaryota, Metazoa, Chordata, Mammalia, Primates, Hominidae. The record is from RefSeq and is a predicted model, not a curated record.